UCAAAAACAUAGCCUUUAGCCCCACAAGUAUUAAAGGUCCCGCCUGCCCAGUGACUCUUUAAACGGCCGCGGUAUCCUAACCGUGCAAAGGUAGCAUAAUCACUUGUCCCCUAAAUAGGGACUGGAAUGAACGGCUAAAUGAGGAUUAAACUGUCUCUUGCGAGCCGGUCAAUGAAUUUGAUUUUCCAGUUCAAAAGCUGGAAUAAACACAUAAGACGAGAAGACCCUGUGGAGCUUCAAAACCUAGUUCACCAAAUAAUGCUUCCUUCGGUUUUUAGUUGGGGCGACUUCGGAGCACAAAAAAACCUCCAAAACAUGUAAACCCACUAUAUUAAGAUCAACAAACCACAAAACCACAAGAUCCAGCAACAGCCCUUAAUGUUGUCUGACCAAUGAACCAAGUUACCCCAGGGAUAACAGCGCCAUCCCCUUCUAGAGUCCCUAUCGACAAGGGGGUUUACGACCUCGAUGUUGGAUCAGGACACCCCAAUGGUGCAGCCGCCACUAAAGGUUCGUUUGUUCAACGAUUAAAGUCCUA
This 538-nucleotide ribosomal RNA is filed under the name Darevskia parvula. Its description in RNAcentral is "partial 16S ribosomal RNA". It matches the Rfam family "Bacterial large subunit ribosomal RNA", at positions 1807 to 2598 of the family's 2925-position model. The record is from RNAcentral. Lineage: Eukaryota; Metazoa; Chordata; Lepidosauria; Squamata; Lacertidae.